Molecule: ribosomal RNA, 467 nt
Filed under: uncultured bacterium
Lineage: Bacteria
Description: partial 16S ribosomal RNA
Rfam family: Bacterial small subunit ribosomal RNA
Source: RNAcentral
GACGAACGCUGGCGGCGUGCUUAACACAUGCAAGUUGAACGAUGACGACCGAGCUUGCUCGGUCUGAUUAGUGGCGAACGGGUGAGUAACACGUGAGCAACCUGCCCUUCACUCUGGGAUAACCUCGGGAAAUCGGGGCUAAUACCGGAUAUGAGCUCCUGUCGCAUGGCGGGUGUUGGAAAGUUUUUCGGUGAAGGAUGGGCUCGCGGCCUAUCAGUUUGUUGGUGAGGUAGUGGCUCACCAAGGCGAUGACGGGUAGCCGGCCUGAGAGGGCGACCGGCCACACUGGGACUGAGACACGGCCCAGACUCCUACGGGAGGCAGCAGUGGGGAAUAUUGCACAAUGGGCGAAAGCCUGAUGCAGCGACGCCGCGUGAGGGAUGACGGCCUUCGGGUUGUAAACCUCUUUCAGCAGGGAAGAAGCGAAAGUGACGGUACCUGCAGAAGAAGCGCCGGCUAACUACGUG